GCUGAAAACAUAUAACCAUACAAACAUCUAUUAUAGACAAACAAAUCAUUUGACUUACUCAGUAGAGGUGAUCGAACAGUCACACACCACCAAAAAGUACCGCAAGGGAACCGCUUAAGCAACAAACAGCAAAGAUUAACCCUUGUACCUUUUGCAUCAUGGUUUAGCAAGAAACUUAAGGCAAGAUGAAUCAUAGUCUGUACCCCGAAACCAGAUGAGCUACCUCAAAGCAGCCUAAAGGGCAAACCCUUCUCUGUGGCAAAAGAGUGGGAAGACUUUCAGGUAGAGGCGAAACACCUAUCGAAUCUGGAGAUAGCUGGUUACCUAAAAAAGAAUAUAAGUUCUACUUUAGACCAAAACAACACCUGUGUUUAUCUAAAGAAACUCAAUAGGGGUACAGCUCUAUUGAGUCAGGAUACAACCUGAAUUUGAGAGGAACCCUAUAACCCUUACCCGUAGGCCCCAAAGCAGCCACCCAACAAAAUAUCGUUAAAGAAUUCACCAAAACUAAUUCAAAAUAAAACUAAAAACUCCAAACCUACUCAAGGUAAACCUACAUCAGUAGGAAAUCUCCUGCUAAAACUAAUAAUAAGACAACCUCUCCAUACGCAUUCGUCCACUAGAAACAGAAAAUCUACUAGCUAUUAACAGACCUGACUAGGAUACACGCUAACCCAUACACACCCCUACUCCCACUGUGACCCCAACACAGGUGCGUUAAAAAGAAAGAUCAAACACUAUAAAAGGAACUCGGCAACCAAAGACCCCAACUGUUUAACAAAAACAUAACCUUUAGCCACAAAACCAGUAUUAAAGGCAACGCCUGCCCAGUGAACAAUUAAACGGCCGCGGUACCCUAACCGUGCAAAGGUAGCAUAAUCAUUUGUCUAUUAAUUGUAGACCUGUAUGAAAGGCAAAAUGAGGGCCUAACUGUCUCUUAUAGUAAAUCUAUUAAACUGAUCUUCCAGUCCAAAAGCUGGAAUACAACCAUAAGACCAGAAGACCCUGUGAAGCUUAAAUUAAACUAUUAAACCCUAUAAUAGCUCCUUUCGGUUGGGGCGACCUUGGAAAAAAAGAGAACUUCCAAAUAAACGAUAUCAUACAUAUCUUACCCAGGCCAACAAGCCAACAAUGACCCAGCAAAGCUGACAAUUGAACCAAGUUACUCCAGGGAUAACAGCGCUAUCUUCUUCAAGAGCCCAUAUCAAAAAGAAGGUUUACGACCUCGAUGUUGGAUCAGGACAACCUAAUGGUGCAGUCGCUAUUAAGGGUUCGUUUGUUCAACGAUUAACAGUCCUACGUGAUCU
Molecule: ribosomal RNA, 1307 nt
Filed under: Sinomicrurus kelloggi (Kellogg's coral snake)
Lineage: Eukaryota; Metazoa; Chordata; Lepidosauria; Squamata; Elapidae
Description: partial 16S ribosomal RNA
Rfam family: Bacterial large subunit ribosomal RNA
Source: RNAcentral